CACGUAGGGGCCAAGCGUUGUCCGGAUUAUUGGGCGUAAAGAGCGUGUAGGCGGCCAGGUAGGUCUGCUGUGAAAACUCGAGGCUUAACCUCGAGCUGUCGGCGGAAACCAUCUGGCUAGAGUCCGGAAGAGGAGAAUGGAAUUCCCGGUGUAGCGGUGAAAUGCGCAGAUAUCGGGAAGAACACCCGUGGCGAAGGCGGUUCUCUGGGACGGUACUGACGCUGAGACGCGAAAGCGUGGGGAGCGAACAGG
Molecule: ribosomal RNA, 252 nt
Filed under: uncultured bacterium
Lineage: Bacteria
Description: partial 16S ribosomal RNA
Rfam family: Bacterial small subunit ribosomal RNA
Source: RNAcentral